RNAcentral lists this long non-coding RNA (276 nucleotides) under Theobroma cacao (cacao). RNAcentral describes it as "long non-coding RNA (TCAC_LNC002940)". Lineage: Eukaryota; Viridiplantae; Streptophyta; Magnoliopsida; Malvales; Malvaceae. The record is from RNAcentral.
AGUGAGUAAACAGAUACCAUCUAAACUAUCUAAAGUCGAGUAAAUGGAGACAAUUGAAAUAAGUCAUCAUACUGUAAUUUCAUUACCUUUCAACUCAUUUCAACCAAAUAAAAUCAAUCCAUAUAAAUCGAGUAAUAAACUUGGCUUAUGAAUUUCUUAAAACUUUGGCUCGUGCCAAAACUCAUACUCGGUGAUACCUUGCGCAGGGCAUCCAACCGAGUCCACCAAGGCUGUUAAAAUUUUUUGUAUACACUUAAAAUAUAUUUUUAGUUUGAG